This is an RNA transcript of Poecilia latipinna (sailfin molly), 1475 nucleotides long. It is a transcript of the gene named poliovirus receptor homolog, with no coding region annotated. The transcript has 8 exons. Lineage: Eukaryota; Metazoa; Chordata; Actinopteri; Cyprinodontiformes; Poeciliidae. The record is from RefSeq and is a predicted model, not a curated record.
AUUAGGGCCAACAAUAAAAACAUAAGCGAUAUAAAUAAAACUGUUUUGCCUUACACGGACACGUAAUCUGAGGAAAUAAGGACGACUGAUUAAAAUGAGAUUGAAGCAGCGGAAUAUCACCCCCGUAUUAAAAAUCACGUGAAAGCGGAAGUGCGCUCUUAUCACGUGUCUCAGGCAGUUUCCGAGAUAUAAAGCGCCAGCAGCCAGAAAGAGAGAUCCUUCGGCCAGCAGAGGGAGAUGGUGUACAGCACAGAUCACAACACGCAGGUUGCAGAUGGGAGCAUCACUGUGGACGAGGGAGGUACCACCAUCUUACCCUGCAAGCUAACACAGAAGUUAUCAGAAAAUGACAACGUGGAACAGAUUUCAUGGCAGAGAAAGACGAAAGGAAAACCGAAAUUGGACAAUUUCUUUACCAUCACAAAGGAUGACGCUCGUCUCGUUAACGGGCCUGACAGGAGAUUUGAAUUUAUCGGGGCAUUUGCUGAACAUAAUGGGACUCUCAAGCUAUCUAAUGCAAGCGUGUUGGACACUGGAAUCUACUCUUGCGUCUUUUCCAUUUUCCCCUCAGGAUAUCCUACAAUAAAAAUAGAGUUAACUGUCCGUGUACCUCAACGAAGAAGUGUAGAGAGUACCCAACCCACUCUUGGAAACAAAGAGGUUCCUCUCGCGACCUGCACCGCUUCCGGAUUCAAACCACCGGCCUCGAUUUCGUGGCAAACUGAUGAUGGUUUAAAAGACAAAGUGAGAUGGACAAACAGCUCAACUCUCCAAAUCAGCGAUACAACCACCACAGUGAGCACAUUGUUUGGAAAGCCCACCAAAGAGAUCAACAGAAAUAAGGUCCAAUGUGUCAUCUCCUUUGAGGGACAAAGCGAAAUCCUAGACUUCGAAAUACAGAUCUACUAUCCACCUCUGAAUGUGAACAUCAAAAAACAACCAAAGGGUCUGGUUUUCACCUGUGAGGCUGAAGGCAACCCAAACCCAACAGUUACCUGGAGCAGGUCAGGCGACGUUCUGUCUCCAUCAAUCUUGGCUCAGGGGGCCUCGCUGACAUUUGUGAAGGAAUCUCAAGACCUGGCUGGUGUCUACCAGUGUGACGCAAAUAACAAAUACGGAAGUUACCAGAGUUUCCUCUACGUGGAUUUCUCAGUAACAAGCUCCAUAACUGGCUGGAUUUUUUUUAGUAUUCUUCUUCUGAUCAUUGUGGCAGCUGGCUUUGCUGCAUUUCUGCACAAACGUGGAUGUUUUGAACUUCCGAGGUUUCUAAGGCCUGACAGAGACGCAGUGCGAACAUCCUCACCAGACGAAGCAGCAAAUGAAAAUGCUGCACUAUAACACCAGAGGGAAAGAGAUGGAUCCUAAUACGUCCAAGCAAAUACUAAAACUUAAGCUUGACCAUCUUUGGCAGAGAUUGAAACAACAGGAUGCUGGCUUGCUGACUCGAUUCCUGCCUCUGUCGUUGUGUCCUUUAG